RNAcentral lists this small RNA (1086 nucleotides) under Drosophila ananassae. RNAcentral's name for it is "GF28188". The record is from RNAcentral. Lineage: Eukaryota; Metazoa; Arthropoda; Insecta; Diptera; Drosophilidae.
GUCGAAUUCCGAGAGAUAUUUCAGUUCGUAGAUAGGACGUGCAACAUUUUUUCUACUAUUUUUUGUAUUAACAGUAAACUUGUAUUAAAAUUAGUCAUCGCUUAAGGCGCCCCCCUUCGGACCAUAUACGAAGUGAUCGUUGAACGUGUAGGACUAUUUGCAGGAUCCAUCUGUUAGCCACUAGAGGCGCCAUAUCUUGUCCUUUAAGCUGGCAAUGACAUUCUUAAUGUGAAAUGCAAAAGUGAGGCGCCUAUGUAAGGUAACACACUUUCAUUGUUAUAGAGUCUUUUUGGAGUGUCUAUGUCCCCACUGCCCAUAUUUUAUGGUCGAGGCUAUUAUUCCAUCGGAAGGCACAUUUUAAAAUUUUUUCAAGAACUUUGGCAGGGUGUUCGUUGCUUUAGAAAAACAUCUGCUCCUGACUAAAAAGGGACUGCCAUGCGCAAUUGUGGCAAUCCAAUCGAUGGCUAGUGAGCAGCAUAAGUAAUGAACGUUUACAGGAUGGGCCCGAGGAUGCUUCCAAGGGGAACUACUGCAGAGAUAACUUUUGAAGUGGAAACGGUUAGACCACAGAAAAAGUCCUUUCGAAAAGGAAACUGACAAAGAUUUUGAAAAGUUGGUGGUGAAAAAGUCCUCUUAGCUUAUACAGAAGGCCCUGAUGCCAUACCCUGUCGAAUGCCUGUCGAAAUGCCCCUCACGAUGCACUUUUUCGGGGUGCCGUGGCCUUUUUUGAUGCCAAAUUAAACUCCAGAAUUGCUUAAACUCCCGAAUUAAAUAGCAAGAGGACCAGUAUGCACCUUUACAACAAGGCGAUAUUCACGGUUUAUCUCGGUAUUGGGAUAUGCUGAAGGCAAGAACAGGAGAGCAUGAUAAGGUGAUAUUACUAAUCAUACGGUUAAUGAUUCCGUCAGGACAAGGCUUCCUUUAUUUUAAGCUUCUUUAUAAUACUCCCGGUCUCUGGAAGUGAAACAGGACGAAGAGGCAAGAAAAGCUGUAGAUUUCUUCACCGUCUCACCCCUGGAAAGCUUUGAAGCGUUCUUUAAGAUCCUUAGUAAAGGCCUCUUCACGAUCUUGAGAUCUGGUCACGGA